Molecule: RNase P RNA, 326 nt
Filed under: Aeriscardovia aeriphila
Lineage: Bacteria; Bacillati; Actinomycetota; Actinomycetes; Bifidobacteriales; Bifidobacteriaceae
Description: Bacterial RNase P class A
Rfam family: Bacterial RNase P class A
About the family: Ribonuclease P (RNase P) is a ubiquitous endoribonuclease, found in archaea, bacteria and eukarya as well as chloroplasts and mitochondria. Its best characterised activity is the generation of mature 5'-ends of tRNAs by cleaving the 5'-leader elements of precursor-tRNAs. Cellular RNase Ps are ribonucleoproteins.
Source: RNAcentral
GAUGAUCGCGGAGGCUUUUGAGCCUAUGAGGAACUUCCGGGCUCCGCAGAGCACGACGGCAGGUAACACCUGCCCAGGGAAACCUGAGAGAUAGCGCAGCAGAGAACAGACCGCCUCAUCAGAGGUAAGGGUGAAACGGCGGUGUAAGAGACCACCGGGUUACUGGUAACAGCAACCGCAUGGCAAGCCUCGUCGGGAGAAAGACCAAAUAGAAGGCAAUGGGGCUGCUCGUCCCGUCUUCGGGUAGGUCGAUGGAGCUUAUUCGUGAGGGUAAGCCUAGAUGGAUGAUCAUCCGCGCUUCGGCGCGACAGAACCCGGGGUAUGAG